CCAAUAGCGUACAUUAAAGUUGUUGCAGUUAAAAAGCUCGUAGUUGAAUUUCGGGGUUAGUAGGUUGGUCAUGCCUCAGGUAUGCACUGGUCUCACUGAUUCCUCCUUCCUGAUGAGCCGUAAUGCCAUUAAUUUGGUGUUGCGAGGAAUCUGGACUGUUACUUUGAAAAAAUUAGAGUGUUUAAAGCAGGCUAACGCUUGAAUACAUUAGCAUGGAAUAAUGGAAUAGGACGUUCGAUCCUAUUUUGUUGGUUUCUAGGAUUGACGUAAUGAUUAAUAGGGAUAGUUGGGGGCAUUAGUAUUCAAUUGUCAGAGGUGAAAUUCUUGGAUUUAUUGAAGACUAACUACUGCGAAAGCAUUUGCCAAGGAUGUUUUCAUUAAUCAAGAACGAAAGUUAGGGGAUCGAAGACGAUCAGAUACCGUCGUAGUCUUAACCAUAAACUAUGCCGACUAGGGAUCGGAUGAUGUUAAUUUUUUAAUGACUCAUUCGGCGCCUUACG
Molecule: ribosomal RNA, 500 nt
Filed under: uncultured Glomeromycotina
Lineage: Eukaryota; Fungi; Glomeromycota
Description: partial small subunit ribosomal RNA
Rfam family: Eukaryotic small subunit ribosomal RNA
Source: RNAcentral